Molecule: ribosomal RNA, 255 nt
Filed under: uncultured Armatimonadota bacterium
Lineage: Bacteria; Bacillati; Armatimonadota
Description: uncultured Armatimonadetes bacterium partial 16S ribosomal RNA
Rfam family: Bacterial small subunit ribosomal RNA
Source: RNAcentral
UACGUAGGGGGCGAGCGUUGUCCGGAAUUACUGGGCGUAAAGGGCGCGUAGGCGGCUUGUGUAAGUCCGCUGUGAAAGACCGAGGCUCAACCUCGGGGUGUCAGCGGAGACUGCGAGGCUUUGGGUAUCGGAGAGGAGCAGGGAAUCCCUGGUGUAGCGGUGGAAUGCGUAGAGAUCAGGGGGAACACCGAUGGCGAAGGCACUGCUCUGGCCGAAGACCGACGCUGAGGCGCGAAAGCUGGGGGAGCGAACGGG